This 802-nucleotide long non-coding RNA is filed under the name Gossypium raimondii (Peruvian cotton). Its description in RNAcentral is "long non-coding RNA (GRAI_LNC002944)". Lineage: Eukaryota; Viridiplantae; Streptophyta; Magnoliopsida; Malvales; Malvaceae. The record is from RNAcentral.
AGACUUUCAUAUUUUCUUCUGCUAUUCUAUUUCUCUUCAUGGAUUGUUAACUUCUUCAUUCUAGCCAAGGGUUUAUCAAGGUUUUUUUGAUUCAUCGAAUUGUGAGAUUAUCGUUCUUCAUGUUGUUAGAUUCUUGAAUAUUUUUACAUCUUCUGUUCUUCAUAUUAUUAUUGAUUUGUGAAUUGCAUGCAUUGCAUGAAUUGGCCACUCUUCAAUUUGUCAAAUUAAUAUAAACCAAUUAAGAUCUUCUCAUCCGUAAUUGUGGAAAGAUUUUAAUCCGUGUGGUGAAUAACUUAGGUUAUGAAGGUGCAAAAUGUAGUUUAAAUUAUCCGUGCUGGAGUGAGAUGAUUGGCUAGAAUUGGGUCCUCUAAAUCAUAAGGCUAUUGGUAAGUUAAAUCCUAGGAGCGUAUCUGCGGGACUAUUUAUCAACAAGAGAAGUAAUCAUUCGAACAUCUCUUUGACUACCAAGAAUUUAAGGAGUGAUUAGAAUAUUAGAGCGUUUUGAGUAGCUAUAACCAAUUUAUUCAAGAAGUUUAGAAAAUUAUUUACAAAAUCAAUGAUCAAUCCAUGGAUUAAAAACUGCGAUUUCCCUUGGCUGGAUAUUUAUCAAACAUUGAAUUUUCCUAAAUCUUACUGUUUUGAAGGCAUUAUUUGUUAUUAGUUUUUAUUCCAAAUUGAACUAUUAAAACCCCCCUCAAUUUUAUUUUCUCAUUUAUUUUUUAGGAACUAGUCUAAUCCCACUCCCUGUGGAUUCAACCUUGCUCACCACUCUUCAAAAGUUUGUUUUUUUCUUUCUUUUCGA